UGGGAAUGUAAAUGGUACAGACACUUCGGAAAACAGUAUGGAGUUUCCUCAAAAGAAUAAAAACAGAACUACCAUGUGACCUAGCCAUGUCACUUCUGGGUAUUUAUCCAAAGGAAUGGAAAUCACUAUCUCACAGAGAUGUCUGCACCCCCAUGUUCAUUGCAGCAUUGUUCACAGUAGCCAAGACACGGAAACAAACUAAACGUCCAUCAACGGAUGAACGGAUAGAGAACAUUUGAUGUAUACACACCAUGGAAUAUUAUUCACCCACAAAAAGAAGGACAUUCUGCCUUUGUGACAACAUAGAUGGACCUUCAGGGCAUUGUACUAAGUGAGGUAAGUCAGACAGAGAAAGACAAACACUGUAUGAUAUCACUUACAUGUGGAAUCUAAAAAAGCCAAAAUCAUGCAAAGGGUAGAUUUGUGGUUUCCAGGGGCUGGGGGGUGCGGGAAAUGAGGAGAUGUUGGUCAAAGGUUACAAACUGCCAGUUAGAAGAGGAAUCACUUCUGAGAUCUACUGUACAGCAUGGUGAUUACAACCGACAAUACUGUAUUGAAUACUUGAAAGUGGAUGAGAGAGUAGAUCUCAAAUGUUCUCCCCAUAACAACAAAUGGUAAUUCUGCGGGGUGAAGGGAGUGCUAACUAACUUCAUUGUGGUGAUCACUUUGCAUGUCUAAAAUCAUCACAUCGUAUACCUUAAGCUUACUCAAUGUUAUGUGUCAAUCACAGGUCAGUCCAGAAGAAAGAUCAAGUCUAUUUUGUCAUAACAUGAGCCUAAGCGCCCCUGCUGCCUUGGGUUACUAUUUGCUUGGAACAUCUUUUUCGAUCCUUUCACUUUUGACCUAUUUGUGUCUUUGGUUCUAAAGUCAGUCUUUCAUUUAUUUAUAAUUGAGGUCAUAUUGGCGUAUAACAUAGUGUAAAUUUCAGGUGCACAUUGUUACACAUCAGUGUCUGUGUAGACGGCAUUAUGUCCACCAAUAGUCUAGCUUUUAUCGGUCACCAUACAUGUGUGCCCCUUUACCCCUCUCGCCCCACCCCCCUUCUCCUCUGGUGACCACUAAUCUGUUCUCUUUAUCUAUGUGUCUCUUUGUUCAUCUUCCACACAUGAGUGAAAUCAUAUGGUGUUUGUCUCUGUCUGGCUUAUUUUGCUUAUCAUAAUAUCCUCAAGGUCCGUCCACGUGGUUGCAAAUGGCAGAAUUUCGUCUUUUUUAUGGCUGAGUACUAUUCCAUUGUAUACAUAUACCGCAUCUUUAUCCCUUCAUCAUUGAAGGCCCUUGGGUCGCUCCUGUCUCUGGUUACUCGGGUCUGCUCAGCUGGCUCUCGGGCUCCUCCACUGGCUCUCCACAGGCUUCGGAGCUGCUGGCCCAGCACCACCUGCACUGCUGCUCCCGGGAUGUCCUGGGGUGCUGGCUGCGCUGCUGCCAGCGGAGCUGGUUCACAGGUGUCACUGUCACUGUCGGCGGAGACGGCGGACUUACAGCCCCUGCUGCUGGUGGAGCUGGUGUGGGGUUGCCGCCACUGGGGGCUGGGUUUCCAGCUGUGCUGAAGUCCCUGUUGCUCCUGGGUGCGGAUGCCGCCUUCCACCGCUGGGGGCGGCACGGGCUGUAUCUCCUGUUCCCACCCCUCCUGCUCCUGUUGGUGUGCAGGUUCAGACCGCUGGGCGUUCCAGGCAGGGCCACAGCCGCAGGGGGCGCGUCGCCGCCCAGCCGCCUCCUCUCCUGGUCGCGCUGGGCGGGGCGCGGUCCCGCAGAAGGGCCGCCGCCAGUGGGCGCCCCCGCGGCUGCCCCGCCCCCCAAGCUCCGCCCGCCGGCCCUGCGCGCGGGUCCGCGCCCCCAGCUGCUGCAGGAGGGCCAGAUCCCCAGCUCCCGCCCGCCUGCCCGCGCGCCGCCCUGGGAGGUGCACCUGUGGGGUCCGUCAGGGUUCCCUGCGCGGUGUCGGACGCCUGCUGCUCCACGGCGGCUUCGUUCCGAAGACUUAACCCCUGAAAGCACUAACGUGUCUCCAACCGAUGCCAGAGCCUGUCACUUACACUCCUUGCCGCUUUCCCCACAGCUGUCUACAGUAUUUGAAUUACUGUCUUCUUCGCAUUUCUGGUUACUAGUCAACAACUGUUUAAUUUCUAUCCAAGGAUGAUUAAAUCCACGUACACUGAAACAAGAAAUAUGCACUCACAAUACUAAAGGAUGACCUGGUCCGUGAUACUUUGGUCACUUCCUCUGCUUAUUGGUUCGAUAAACCUCCUAGGUCUGGUACGCUGCUCGCUCACAUCUACUACUCAACCCUCAACGAUUUAGGUGUGGUUGUUCCUCUCAGGGCAAGAGCGGUCAUUACUGGUUUUAGCCAUAAAUCUAUAGCGUGUGGAUGGUGGGAGAGAGAAGCUGCCUUUUCCUCUGUGGGGCCAACCAUCUGGAGACAUUGGGAUAAGACUUGUCUGCACAAAGAGAGAAUGACAUCAAACUACACCAAACAUUUGGAAAUUUCAGAGGGAGAGACUUGAGGACGUGAUUUGAGUCCUGAGGUCGCCUCCCCCUGAUGUGAGGUGCUGGGAACACAUCAUGCAACUGGCAAGAGGCCAUCUCUGCCCUCAGGAUGUCUUGGAGAAGCCUGGUGGGAGACACAGCUACAUAACCAGGAGACGGCAACACCGGAUGAUGAGGACUUCAGGGGAAGCUAGGAGUCGGAGAGGCAGCUACCUCGUCAGGGGUGUGGGAGGCAGGGGGGGCUUCCUGGAGGAGGUGAUUUGUGGCCUGAAACCUGUUGACUGAGGAAGAUGUGAGUGAGGCAUGAGGGAUGUGGUGGGACCUGGGAUGAGAGAGAGGCCAGCUCAUUCCGGAAACCAGAAAUGCUCCCAUCUCAUUUUAGCCUAGCGAUACAAAAAGGGGGGCAGGUGUUGGAAUUGGAGGAGACGUCUUCAGUCCUCAGCCCUAGGCGAGCCUGCCUCUUCCCCCAACUCCACCUGUGAGCCCUGCUCGAUGCCUGGCAGCUGUUUGGGGCCCUUGUUACUACUUGUCCACAGACAGCUCUCCUGGAACCAGGCCAAGGCUUCCUUGUCCAGCACAGGGCCCACCUCGUCACCACCAGCAGUCGAACAGAGCAGGUGAGGGCAGGAGGGACCUUUAGGGCCCUUCAUCAAGUCAGUACGUGGUGGUGUCCCCGUCCCUGCAGGGUCCGCUCCAAACCCCGGAGCCCACGGCUGGUCUCUCCACACACCCACCACCCCAGCAUGUGGACGCGCCCUGAUCAUGCAUUUUCUCACUCUGCUUUUAUUGACAUCAGCCCUGUGGCAGGAGCUCCCUUCCCCUGUGAUCAGCUGAGAGAACUCCUCUUCAUCCUUUAAGUCCCAGAGGAAACAUUCCCUCCUCUGCGUUUCCCCCAGUGACCAGCGGACGUCUCCCUCACAGGCCUGCAUGUUAGGCUGUGGCUGUGGGUCGAGGGUCUGGGACUGGGUCUGCUGUAUCUCUGUGUCCCCAGGGCCUGGACAGCGCUGGACACACAGUAGGGACUAAGCAUACGCCUCUUGUGUGGAGUCCAAUGGCAGAGGCUCUCCUGUUGCCCAGAGUCCAAACUCUCAAGCCUGGGGUUGAGCCUUCUGUAAUAAAUCUCAGACAUAUGGGUUUUCUGACAGCAA
Long non-coding RNA from Equus caballus (horse), 3629 nucleotides. The record is from Ensembl. Lineage: Eukaryota; Metazoa; Chordata; Mammalia; Perissodactyla; Equidae.